This 570-nucleotide ribosomal RNA is filed under the name Phyllobacterium sp. 60(2013). RNAcentral's name for it is "bacterial SSU rRNA". It matches the Rfam family "Bacterial small subunit ribosomal RNA", at positions 90 to 695 of the family's 1533-position model. The record is from RNAcentral. Lineage: Bacteria; Pseudomonadati; Pseudomonadota; Alphaproteobacteria; Hyphomicrobiales; Phyllobacteriaceae.
GGGGAGUGGCAGACGGGUGAGUAACGCGUGGGAAUCUACCCAAUUCUUCGGAACAACACAUGGAAACGUGUGCUAAUACCGAAUGAGCCCUUCGGGGGAAAGAUUUAUCGGAAUUGGAUGAGCCCGCGUUGGAUUAGCUAGUUGGUGGGGUAAAGGCCUACCAAGGCGACGAUCCAUAGCUGGUCUGAGAGGAUGAUCAGCCACACUGGGACUGAGACACGGCCCAGACUCCUACGGGAGGCAGCAGUGGGGAAUAUUGGACAAUGGGCGCAAGCCUGAUCCAGCCAUGCCGCGUGAGUGAUGAAGGUCUUAGGAUUGUAAAGCUCUUUCACCGGUGAAGAUAAUGACGGUAACCGGAGAAGAAGCCCCGGCUAACUUCGUGCCAGCAGCCGCGGUAAUACGAAGGGGGCUAGCGUUGUUCGGAUUUACUGGGCGUAAAGCGCACGUAGGCGGACUUUUAAGUCAGGGGUGAAAUCCCGGGGCUCAACCCCGGAACUGCCUUUGAUACUGGAAGUCUUGAGUUCGAGAGAGGUGAGUGGAAUUGCGAGUGUAGAGGUGAAAUUCGUAGAU